RNAcentral lists this ribosomal RNA (452 nucleotides) under Conotrachelus sp. SPN-036. RNAcentral describes it as "partial 16S ribosomal RNA". Lineage: Eukaryota; Metazoa; Arthropoda; Insecta; Coleoptera; Curculionidae. The record is from RNAcentral.
AAAAACAUGUCUUUUUGAUUAUAAUUUAAAGUCUAGCCUGCCCAAUGAAUAUGAUUAAAUGGCCGCGGUAUAUUGACUGUGCAAAGGUAGCAUAAUCAUUAGUUUUUUAAUUGAAAGCUGGAAUGAAAGGUUGAAUGAAAAAAUAACUGUCUCUAUUUAAAUUAAUUAGAAUUUUAUUUUUAAGUUAAAAAGCUUAAAUAUUUAUAAAAGACGAGAAGACCCUAUAGAGUUUGAUAUUUUUUGAUAUUAAAAUAUUUAGUAUUUUUAUUUUUAUUUUUAAUAAGAUAUUUAAUUGGGGUGAUUGAAAAAUUUAUUAAACUUUUUUUUUAUAGUUACAUUAAUUUAUGAGUAUUUGAUCCUUUAAAUAAGAUUAUAAGAUUAAAUUACCUUAGGGAUAACAGCGUAAUUUUUUUUAAGAGUUCUAAUCGAAAAAAAAGAUUGCGACCUCGAUG